UCCAUGGUGGCUCAGAUGGUAAAGAAUCUGCCUGUAAUGCAGGAGACCCAGGUUCGAUCCCUGGGUUGGGAA
RNAcentral lists this transfer RNA (72 nucleotides) under Bos taurus (domestic cattle). It matches the Rfam family "tRNA". From Rfam's summary of the family: Transfer RNA (tRNA) molecules are approximately 80 nucleotides in length. RNAcentral also lists the same sequence under 1 other name. The record is from Rfam by way of RNAcentral. Lineage: Eukaryota; Metazoa; Chordata; Mammalia; Artiodactyla; Bovidae.